CCUACGGGAGGCAGCAGUGAGGAAUAUUGGUCAAUGGGCGGAAGCCUGAACCAGCCAAGUCGCGUGAGGGAAUAAGGCCCUACGGGUCGUAAACCUCUUUUGCCGGGGAGCAAGGGCGGGGACGUGUCCCGGCCCGGAGAGGACCCGGAGAAAAAGCAGCGGCGAACUCCGUGCCAGCAGCCGCGGUAAUACGGAGGAUGCGAGCGUUAGCCUGAUUUAUGGGGGUUAAAGGGUGCGUAGGCGGGCUUUUAAGUCAGCGGUAAAAAUUCGGGGCGCAACCCCGUCCGGCCGUUGAAACGGGGGGCCUUGCGUGGGCGAGAAGCAGGCGGAAUGCGUGGUGUAGCGGU
This 347-nucleotide ribosomal RNA is filed under the name uncultured bacterium. Its description in RNAcentral is "partial 16S ribosomal RNA". It matches the Rfam family "Bacterial small subunit ribosomal RNA", at positions 338 to 682 of the family's 1533-position model. The record is from RNAcentral.